UACGGGGGGGGCAAGCGUUGUUCGGAAUUACUGGGCGUAAAGGGCUCGUAGGCGGCCAAUUAAGUCCGACGUGAAAUCCCCAGGCUUAACCUGGGAACUGCGUCGGAUACUGGAUGGCUUGAAUUCGGGAGAGGGAUGCAGAAUUCCAGGUGUAGCGGUGAAAUGCGUAGAUAUCUGGAGGAAUACCGGUGGCGAGGGCGGCAUCCUGGACCGACAUUGACGCUGAUGAGCGAAAGCUAGGGGAGCAAACGGG
Molecule: ribosomal RNA, 253 nt
Filed under: uncultured bacterium
Lineage: Bacteria
Description: partial 16S ribosomal RNA
Rfam family: Bacterial small subunit ribosomal RNA
Source: RNAcentral